CUGCCUUGAGGGUAGUCCAAGGAGAUGGGUUAGAAAUGGAUUUGCAGAGUUUUUCAGCUCCAGGUUUCUGGAGAUCAGCCAGGCCUUGGCAUACUUGAAAGCAAUUAGGGAAAACAAAACAAAACAAAGAGCAGGUCAAUGUAAUAUUGCUGAGAGCUUGGCACAGGCCAUUUAUCGUCUGAAUUAACCUUUCACACCGUUUUUUGAUAAAGUUUGUGUUGUGCUGCUGAGAGAACAACAUUUUUUCUCUUCUUUGUGAGGAGAAUCUGAGACUGAAUGUUUCCUGAGGCCAUGCCAAAAACAAAGGGAAAGGAAAACAAGAAUGUGUUCCUGGAGGCCAAGAUAGGAUUGUGGAUCUUCUCCAUCUGCGAAGGAACCGAAGGUGGAAGGGGAGAGGAGAUGAAGAGCGCCAUAUGCACAUGGUUUCCCAGGAGCUGGUUAGGAUUGCCUUUUGAGGAGGGAAAAGAGUUUAUAUGACCUGUGCUUUCCCUACCUAAAGCUUUGAAAAGGAGCCACCCUCUGGAACAAUUUUACUGAGGAUGUGUGAGUGAUUGGUAGGUCCUGGGAAGAAUUCUGCCCAAGAAUGCACUCCUGCUUUUCAGCAUCCAGGUCACAGGAGAUAAUUUAAUGUGGGUUUUUCUCUGACCUUCUUUUCCUUUUCUUUCCAAAGAUCACACUAAGGUAAAAGUGCCACUGUCUUGUCUGAGACAAGUGCCAUGUCAUUGACUGACAAGUAUUCUUUGUCAAUCAACAUCCCUGGUGUAGGUUGUCAUGUUACUGUGUGAGUGAUAUAUUUGAUCCUCAGCAACUGCCUGUGAGAGUGAAUUUAUUUUAAACUUUGUUUGCAAAUGUAUUUGCACCUAAUGUAUUCAUGUAAUGAUUUUGAAAAAUAUUCCAGAAGGUCCAUUUGAAUCUGAGGUUAUCAUGAGGUCAAGUGGGUGAUGUCUUUCUGUAUAUC
Catharus ustulatus (Swainson's thrush) is the source of this 958-nucleotide long non-coding RNA. RefSeq lists it as uncharacterized. Lineage: Eukaryota; Metazoa; Chordata; Aves; Passeriformes; Turdidae. The transcript is spliced from 3 exons. The record is from RefSeq and is a predicted model, not a curated record.